RNAcentral lists this ribosomal RNA (579 nucleotides) under uncultured bacterium. RNAcentral's name for it is "bacterial SSU rRNA". It matches the Rfam family "Bacterial small subunit ribosomal RNA", at positions 912 to 1499 of the family's 1533-position model. The record is from RNAcentral.
GACGGGGGCCCGCACAAGCGGAGGAACAUGUGGUUUAAUUCGAUGAUACGCGAGGAACCUUACCCGGGCUCAAACGCGCAGAGACAGUUGCGGAAACGCAAUCUCCCCUCGGGGCCCUGUGCGAGGUGCUGCAUGGUUGUCGUCAGCUCGUGCCGUGAGGUGUCGGCUUAAGUGCCAUAACGAGCGCAACCCCCAUCUUCAGUUGCCACCGUGUGAUGGCGGGCACUCUGGAGAGACUGCCGGCGCAAGCUGUGAGGAAGGCGGGGAUGACGUCAAAUCAGCACGGCCCUUACGUCCGGGGCGACACACGUGUUACAAUGGCGGGGCACAGAAGGAAGCCAGGCGGCGACGCCGAGCCGAUCCCAAAAACCCGUCUCAGUUCGGAUCGGAGUCUGCAACCCGACUCCGUGAAGCUGGAUUCGCUAGUAAUCGCGCAUCAGCCAUGGCGCGGUGAAUACGUUCCCGGGCCUUGUACACACCGCCCGUCAAGCCAUGGAAGCCUGGAGUGCCUGAAGUGCGUGACCGCGAGGAGCGCCCAAGGGUAAGACAGGUGACUGGGGCUAAGUCGUAACAAGGUAG